CGCCUCACGUUCUCGUUUUCUUGCUGUGACAGAUGAGCGUGAGUUGGACCAAAAUAUGGCGCUAUCGUUUCCAGCCAAUCAGCGGCCUCGUCUGAACGGGUCUCAGCCACCGUCAGCGCAGUGGCGGGAACGCGCACCCACGAAGGAAAACGGAUUUGGGAAGGCCUCGGGCUCGCGCUUAUCGUGUUUGCCUGGCAAGUGACCGAGGAGUAAGAGGCUCGACAUUAUGGGGGUUGCUGAACCCCGGGACGGGAUGGACCCUGACCGACCAAGAGGGAAGAAAAGCUCCAGGAGGAGGCGGUUUAUACCGGGAUCGAGUCCGAUUUGUGUGUCAGUCCUUUAAAAGCGAGUAAAUGAGCUGCAGCGGAGACAGUGUUUGCUGGGACUGAACCGGAGGCACGGUCAAAGCUGCUUCACGAGCAAACAAACCCAAGGAGACUUCGAUUCACCAUCUGAACUGGAUCCAACUUUACAUUCGGAGAAAAAUGGAAGAAUCGCUAAUUACAAAUCGAUCCGGUCAGCCCAGCCCAGUUCGAGCAGAGUGGGCUUAUCCGGAGUAAAGCCAGUCAGUCAGUCAGUCGGCAGUGAUCUGUCGCCGGUCGGUGAUGUCCGCGUUCUGCGUGGACCUGCAGUCGUCUGCGGGGAUUUCAGCACCACUGGAGCUGGACAGCGACAGCAUGGAGCCGCGCUCCAGCGCCGCCGCUCCGGACUCGGGCGGUUUCCACGGUCACCCGCUGCGCCAGGCUGGCUCCGGAGGCCUCGGCAUGGCCUUGGAGGAGGAACUGGCCAUGAUCACCGGGGAGCGGGGAGACGAGCCGGAGCUGCCGGAGCUGGAGGCGACUGCAGUCGGUCACAACGCAGAUUUGCUGUUUCUCUUCCGCCAAAAAGAGAAAGACUUGGUGUUAGCCGCAAAACUUGGAAAAGCGCUGCUAGAAAGAAACCAGGACUUGACUAAGCAAUAUGAGAACAUGCACAAAGAUCUAAAUGAGAAACUAGAGCACUUGAAGCAAGAGAAGCAUGAACUACGACGGCGUUUGGAAAGUCGAGAGGGGGAGUGGGAAAGCCGAGUGUCCGAGCUGGAGACAGACGUCCAGCAGCUGCAAGUUGAGCUGGAGCGCCACCAGAUCCAGCUGAGAGAAGUGGACAGGGACAAGACCAAGGCCAUCAGCGAGCUCUCAGAGCAGAACCAGAGGCUCCUGGAGCAACUCAGCAGGGCUGCAGACGUGGAAAAGCAGCUGUCCACUCAGGUCCAUUCAUUACGGGAUGACUUCAGGGAGAAGAGUAUGUCUACAAGCCAGCACAUGACCCGACUGGAGGCUCUACAGGCUGAGCAAGGGCUAGAAAUUAAGAUGCUGUCAGAGAGGAAGAUGGAGCUGGAGCACCGGGUGCACGCCAUCGUGGAGGAGAACGAGCUGCUGCAGAACACGGUGGACAACCUCAGAGAGAGGACUCUGGUGCUGGAGAGACAGUGUCGUGAGAAGGACCUUCAGUUGCGGCAGAGCCAGCUUGAACUCCAGGAGGUCCAGGUGUCUCACAGGCAGUUGACAACAAGACUAGCAGAGCUGACAGAGGAGCACAGCCUCCAGAGUCUCACCCCCCACCCAUCCAGCUUGCUGUGUGAGAUAGAACAGAGCAUGGAGCAGGAGGAGCAGGAGCAGGAGAGGGAACAGCUGCGUCUUCAGCUGUGGGAGGCCUAUUGUGAGGUGCGCUCACUCUGCUCUCAUCUGCGGGGAAAUGACGUCACAGAUUCGGCGCUGUCCACUGAUUCCUCCAUGGAUGAGUCCUCUGAGACAUCCUCUGUUAAAGAUGUACCCACAGGCAGUCUUCACACCAGCCUGUUGGAACUACGGAGGCUAACGCAGAAUCUGCUGGAUGGCAACGAGUCUACGGGUUCACGGCGGAGUGAUGAAGAGGCUCUAGAGGAGCCAGUGAGGAAGCUCGGAGAAGAGCUGCAGGAGGUCAGGCAGCUCUACGAGGCUGAACAAGACAAAACGCACAGCAAUGAGGAGGAGCUGCUACAACUGCACAACCAGAUGGCGCUGCUGUCGGUGGAGAUGUGCUCGCUCCGGGAGGAGAACGAGCAACUGAGGGUGAUGGCUGAAGUCAGAGAACCCAGCGAGCAGCUCCAGAACGCCAUCAGAGAUCGAGAUGAUGCCAUAGCCAAGAAGAAAGCUGUGGAAAUGGAGCUGGCCAAAUGUAAAAUAGACAUUAUGUCUUUGAACAGCCAGCUGCUGGAUGCCAUCCAGCAGAAGCUUAACCUGUCUCAACAGUUGGAGGCUUGGCAGUUUGCCUCCUCAGGGCUCUUUACAGUUUGGCUCUUGUGGUUUCUGAUCUAGUGGCCUUUCUCAGCGUCAGCACCACCCUUUCUCCCCUGUGGUACCCCUCCCCUCCUGCCUUAGAGGAUGAUAUGCACAGAGUCAUUGACCAGCAGCUGAUGGACAAGCACCAGGACGAGUGGCGCUUGGCGCACACUUCCCAGACAAGCUCAUCAAGAAGUCAGGCGUCAAAGCGCUCUCACCGUAUUUCCGAACGUGACAAGAGACUUUUCUCUUUCUUCAAGAAGAGCUGAGCCCUGUUUGUCUAUCCUGCAAAGACAGGCAGAGGAAGUGGCAUCCCAUCACAGUGGUUCGAAUUCAGCCAAAGACAGGCAAGGGGUGCAGGAGGCGAGAGAUUAUUUGCACUUUAACCGUUCCAUCAGUAGUCUCCGAAUCGGUUAACCGUCUUUCAGUUCAGUGUGAGUAAAAAGAGCAAAAAUUCUCCAGAAUUCAUGAAGGAUUCUUGGUCUUACAGAACCGGAUCUGGUAACAAAGUUUACCUCCACAGAAGGCUUCCUUAUAGUGCCUACAACCAUCUCUACAAACCUACUGCCAGCUCUGUAGUGGAAGAAAACUCCACUUAGUCCUAUUAUGCAUACCAGUUAGAAGGAAGACAGACCGAUACACGGGAGACAGCAGGAUCCUGGGAUUGAGGUUCGCUGAAAGAUGAUGGGAAAUGAGGGGUGCUUUCCUAAGUAAACAGACCAACCCUCAGGUUCAUUCAUUUGUUUAGGAAAGCAUGAGUCUAUCAAAGUCGCAAUGUGAUAAAGAUCAUAAAUAGGUCAGUUAUGGAAAAAUGUAAUUUAUCUGAUCUUGCGUUUAAUGCCAUUUCAAAUUUAAAGUAAUUUACAAUGGUUUGUCCUAAUUUCUUCUUUUGUAAAUCAAUAUAUUCUUUGUUGAAGUUUGAUUAAUCGUGUUAGGGUAACUCGGUUAAUUCAUUCAUGUGGAAUAGGACAAAGCUAAAAUAAGAAAAUAAACCUUAAAUCCAAAAACUAAAGGAUUUUCAGACCCAAUCUCCAACAGCUGAAUAAACCUCUGAGGUGAGAAGGUUUUCUCAAGUUUGGGAACCAAAGGCAGACUCCACCAUCUUCCCUGUCAUUUUACUCAUCUUCCCAGCUGACCAAACUUUUAGAAAGGUUUGGGAAGGAGGCAAACCCACAAAGAACUCUCAUUCAAUCAAGAAUAACUGUUGUAGUUCAGGCGUUGCAGUUCCACUUUUGACUUCUUCAUGACCCUUCCUGUGUAUUGCUCAACAUCCACAGUUGAUGGUUCGCAUCUUCAAACGGUCUACCUCCAUCCCCAUCGCUUCAAUGCGCUCCACAUGGCACUUUGAUUUCCUAACUGUCGGGCUUCCAUUCCAAGCGACACAAGUGUUGCUGUGUUGCUUCAUUUGUCGAGAGAGCGUCUCCUCAGAUCCUUGAGCGUGAAGUGUUAGAACUUGUGUGUGUGUGGAAAACCUAUGCAGACGUGUUGGUGUCACCUCAGCAGGUUGUUGGGAAGGAUCAACCCAAAGAAUGAUUUUUAUAAAAAGUAAACUAGCUUUGGUUAAAAUUGAUAUAUUUAUAAGAAAAAAAGAAAAUAACUUUUAAAAAGAAAACCUUUUUGUAGUGACAAAUCUAUUCAUCCGAUGAUAAUUGUAGGCGUGGACAUCAUGAGUCCAGCCAGUCAGAAUGAAUUGCACUGGUAGGUUGGAAAUUCUCUCUUGUUUUAAUGUAUUUUUUUGUUUGUUUGUUUCAUAGACACACAUUAGGGUGGUGGGACAUAUUUCUGCGUGCUAUUUUAGUUUGUUCUCACCUUAAUUAUUCAUGAAAAUGCUGUAAAACCCCUAAAAGGAGUCACGAUUCCCUAUGUUCUGAUCCAUUAAAAUUCAAAUGGAUGUUCCACUCACAAAUAGAGUGUACUUUCAAAAAACGAGUCAGUUCACUGAUGGAAAAGUUGUUAAACUUUAGUUAAAGAUUACAAGUUUUUGAUUGAACAAGCAGUCGUAUGAAAAAUCUGAUUUGUUUAUAAAAGUAUCUUAAAAAAAUCCAAACUAUUCGAUGAAAUGGUGACGUUUACACAAAUUUUAAAAAAAAAACUUACGAUCGUUGUUUAUGUGUUCGAUCAGGAACAAAGAUAAACUAAACAGCCGUUUCCUAGGCUACCUUUUACUGGUGGAACAGCAUUUCUGUCCAUACCAGAACUUCAAACUUUCCAUGUUUUAAAUCUUCUUUUUGCUCCGUUUAUAUUUUGUCCAUUUUGUUUAGACUCUUAGACUGAACUUAGUUCCAUGUGACGGCUGUGUGUCCUGCAGUGACAGCAGAGUGUGUUUUCUGUCUCCCCUCAGUCGUGGUAUUUUGGAAUUUAGUGCUUUCGUUGCGCUCCUUGUUUACUGUGAGUGCUUCCAUUCACCUCGGCCACAGCCACACUGUUUUUUGUUGUUGUUGUUGUUGUCAUUUCAGACAAUUCAAAGUAUUUAUCAUGCAAUUUUCUUAGCAUUUUUUUGUACCAAUAAACCUUUGCAAUUUUA
This is an RNA transcript of Oryzias latipes (Japanese medaka), 4824 nucleotides long. It is a transcript of the gene named BICD family like cargo adaptor 1, with no coding region annotated. The record is from RefSeq and is a predicted model, not a curated record. Lineage: Eukaryota; Metazoa; Chordata; Actinopteri; Beloniformes; Adrianichthyidae.